GAUGAACGCUGGCGGUAUGCCUUACACAUGCAAGUCGAACGGAAAUUAGCUUCGGUUAAUUUAGUGGCGGACGGGUGAGUAACACGUGAGAAUUCGCCUUUAGGAGGGGAUAACGGAUGGAAACAUUCGGCUAAAACCCCAUAUGCCCCCCGGGUGAAAAAGAGGAGAUAAGUAAAACUGAAUCACCUCUGCCUGAAGAGAAGCUCGCGGCUGAUUAGCUAGUUGGUAGGUAAAGGCCUACCAAGGCGACGAUCAGUAGCUGGUCUGAGAGGACGAUCAGCCACACUGGAACCUGAGACACGGUCCAGACUCCUACGGGAGGCUG
Molecule: ribosomal RNA, 325 nt
Filed under: uncultured cyanobacterium
Lineage: Bacteria; Bacillati; Cyanobacteriota
Description: bacterial SSU rRNA
Rfam family: Bacterial small subunit ribosomal RNA
Source: RNAcentral